RNAcentral lists this ribosomal RNA (478 nucleotides) under Escherichia coli. Its description in RNAcentral is "partial 23S ribosomal RNA". It matches the Rfam family "Bacterial large subunit ribosomal RNA", at positions 2211 to 2688 of the family's 2925-position model. The record is from RNAcentral. Lineage: Bacteria; Pseudomonadati; Pseudomonadota; Gammaproteobacteria; Enterobacterales; Enterobacteriaceae.
UGUUUGAUGUUCUAACGUUGGCCCGUAAUCCGGGUUGCGGACAGUGUCUGGUGGGUAGUUUGACUGGGGCGGUCUCCUCCUAAAGAGUAACGGAGGAGCACGAAGGUUGGCUAAUCCUGGUCGGACAUCAGGAGGUUAGUGCAAUGGCAUAAGCCAGCUUGACUGCGAGCGUGACGGCGCGAGCAGGUGCGAAAGCAGGUCAUAGUGAUCCGGUGGUUCUGAAUGGAAGGGCCAUCGCUCAACGGAUAAAAGGUACUCCGGGGAUAACAGGCUGAUACCGCCCAAGAGUUCAUAUCGACGGCGGUGUUUGGCACCUCGAUGUCGGCUCAUCACAUCCUGGGGCUGAAGUAGGUCCCAAGGGUAUGGCUGUUCGCCAUUUAAAGUGGUACGCGAGCUGGGUUUAGAACGUCGUGAGACAGUUCGGUCCCUAUCUGCCGUGGGCGCUGGAGAACUGAGGGGGGCUGCUCCUAGUACGAGA